UGGGGAAUCUUGCGCAAUGCGCGAAAGCGUGACGCAGCAACGCCGCGUGGGGGAAGAAGGCCUUCGGGUUGUAAACCCCUUUCAGUUGGGACGAAGGUUCAGUCGUUAAUAGCGGCUUGGACUGACGGUACCUUCACAAGAAGCCCCGGCUAACUACGUGCCAGCAGCCGCGGUAAUACGUAGGGGGCAAGCGUUGUCCGGAAUCAUUGGGCGUAAAGAGCGUGUAGGCGGCCCGAUAAGUCCGCCGUGAAAGCCCAGGGCUCAACCCUGGGAUGCCGGUGGAUACUGUCGGGCUAGAGUUCGGAAGAGGCAAGUGGAAUUCCUGGUGUAGCGGUGAAAUGCGCAGAUAUCAGGAGGAACACCUAUGGCGAAGGCAGCUUGCUGGGACGACACUGACGCUGAGACGCGAAAGCGUGGGGAGCAAACAG
Molecule: ribosomal RNA, 428 nt
Filed under: uncultured bacterium
Lineage: Bacteria
Description: bacterial SSU rRNA
Rfam family: Bacterial small subunit ribosomal RNA
Source: RNAcentral